This 725-nucleotide ribosomal RNA is filed under the name Escherichia coli. Its description in RNAcentral is "partial 23S ribosomal RNA". It matches the Rfam family "Bacterial large subunit ribosomal RNA", at positions 609 to 1334 of the family's 2925-position model. Lineage: Bacteria; Pseudomonadati; Pseudomonadota; Gammaproteobacteria; Enterobacterales; Enterobacteriaceae. The record is from RNAcentral.
UGUAUAAUGGGUCAGCGACUUAUAUUCUGUAGCAAGGUUAACCGAAUAGGGGAGCCGAAGGGAAACCGAGUCUUAACUGGGCGUUAAGUUGCAGGGUAUAGACCCGAAACCCGGUGAUCUAGCCAUGGGCAGGUUGAAGGUUGGGUAACACUAACUGGAGGACCGAACCGACUAAUGUUGAAAAAUUAGCGGAUGACUUGUGGCUGGGGGUGAAAGGCCAAUCAAACCGGGAGAUAGCUGGUUCUCCCCGAAAGCUAUUUAGGUAGCGCCUCGUGAAUUCAUCUCCGGGGGUAGAGCACUGUUUCGGCAAGGGGGUCAUCCCGACUUACCAACCCGAUGCAAACUGCGAAUACCGGAGAAUGUUAUCACGGGAGACACACGGCGGGUGCUAACGUCCGUCGUGAAGAGGGAAACAACCCAGACCGCCAGCUAAGGUCCCAAAGUCAUGGUUAAGUGGGAAACGAUGUGGGAAGGCCCAGACAGCCAGGAUGUUGGCUUAGAAGCAGCCAUCAUUUAAAGAAAGCGUAAUAGCUCACUGGUCGAGUCGGCCUGCGCGGAAGAUGUAACGGGGCUAAACCAUGCACCGAAGCUGCGGCAGCGACACUAUGUGUUGUUGGGUAGGGGAGCGUUCUGUAAGCCUGCGAAGGUGUACUGUGAGGUAUGCUGGAGGUAUCAGAAGUGCGAAUGCUGACAUAAGUAACGAUAAAGCGGGUGAAAAGCCCGCU